Molecule: transfer RNA, 77 nt
Filed under: Deltaproteobacteria bacterium
Lineage: Bacteria; Pseudomonadati; Myxococcota; Myxococcia
Also listed under: 1 other name
Description: tRNA-Arg
Rfam family: tRNA
About the family: Transfer RNA (tRNA) molecules are approximately 80 nucleotides in length.
Source: RNAcentral
GGGCGAUUAGCUCAGUCGGAUAGAGCGUUAGCCUCCGGAGCUAAAGGCCGCGCGUUCGAAUCGCGCAUCGCCCACCA